AAGCAAUAGCUGUGUAAAAAUGAAGUUCUAUUUUUGUGGAAUCGUGGCUACAAUUUUGCUGCUGAUGGGCCAGCAGAAUAUGGUGGAGGCAGGACCAAAGGUUUAUCCCGGAGGACUUAGGUUACUACAAGAUUAGGUUCCGUCACAAUAGAAAAAAAAACCUCUACCGCAAGAGACAUGGGUUUUUGAAAAUAAUUAAAAAUGUAUUUUCUUUUUAAAUUACUUGUUAAAAGCAUUAAAGGAAAUUAUAUAAGAAAGAAAAUGUUCACUCUUA
This is a long non-coding RNA of Scaptodrosophila lebanonensis, 274 nucleotides long. RefSeq lists it as uncharacterized. The record is from RefSeq and is a predicted model, not a curated record. The transcript is spliced from 2 exons. Lineage: Eukaryota; Metazoa; Arthropoda; Insecta; Diptera; Drosophilidae.